Molecule: long non-coding RNA, 245 nt
Organism: Asparagus officinalis (garden asparagus)
Lineage: Eukaryota; Viridiplantae; Streptophyta; Magnoliopsida; Asparagales; Asparagaceae
Exons: 2
Source: RefSeq, a predicted model, not a curated record
AUGGAAGCUUCACUCCGUUAUCGCAGAUUAUGGAUAUCUGCAUCAUUGUUAUUGUAGUUGCCAGUGAAUUUUGUGAUGAAAUGUUGGUUUCUAUGACCGGUAGUUGCUAGUGAAUUUUGUGAUUGCUCUCUCUCUCUCUCUCUCAUAUAAUAAAGAAACAGAAUAUACUUUUUUUUAUCGUAACCUUGUAAUUAACUUUCUUUGUGCGUUUGUGUGGAGUAUGGAGAUCAUGGGGAAUUUCAUCU